Molecule: long non-coding RNA, 964 nt
Filed under: Mytilus galloprovincialis (Mediterranean mussel)
Lineage: Eukaryota; Metazoa; Mollusca; Bivalvia; Mytilida; Mytilidae
Source: RNAcentral
GGCUUCCAAAAUUUUUCUGAGCCAGCCGGACAUUUUAUAUUUGAUCCGAAUUUUUAUUCCUAAGACAAAGUCACAAAAGGCAAUUAUGGUAAUCAGAUGGCCAUCCCAAUGAUUGACAUUAAGUUAAAAUCGAUAUCAAACUUUACUUUGAUAUGAAUUUGAUGUUCUGACAUAAACUGUUAAAAUUGGCAUUGCAUCAUUUAAAGUGUGCACAUCAGCGUGCUCAUAUCUGCAUUAGACUCUUUAUUUGUGCAAAAUGAAGUUGUCUAGAACUUUAUUUUCAAUUUUAAAGUCACAUUUUUCAAAACCGGAUGUUGACUUGACAAUGGUAAAACAUGGACCAUAAACGGAUACGUAAAAUCCGUGUACGUUAACAUAGAACUACUGAGCGAAGAAGCUCUUUCCACGUUAUUUCUUCAACAAAAUACUUGAAAUGAACGUUAGAUACAGGUAUCAAUGAUACUUUUAGCAUUUUUGAAGAAAUGUAGGAUGCAUAAUUGAAUUUCCCACCUGUGCACAUGCGCACAUGUGUUCUUGUUCAUACAACGUAGUGCUGACGAUUUUUCAUUUAAAACCUUUUUAAAUGAUUUAUCAAAUCAUGUUUAUAAAUGUAUUUAUUAUAUAUUUUAAACCAAUUAGAUACAAGCUGCUUAAAUGUACGAAAAUAAUUGGGAAUGGACCGAUUAAUUUAUACGAUGUCCGGUACUGAAAAUAGUUUUACUGUCACCUGAACAGGUAGUUUUCAGCUGUCCAACAACUAAUUAGCCUUGAUUAAUUAGAAAGUAUUGAAGUAGGGUUGUUUUGGUAGUAAUUAAUCAUCAUGUCACUUUUAUGACCGGAAAUGUAUGGCUGUUAAAGGCAAAAUGUUGGGUAAAAAAGAUCGUGAAAUUAUAUGUUAAAAUGACCGAAAAAGCUUUUGAAACUAAAAAGUAGAUGACCGUUUCAUGCUUUGCCAAGCCGGUCU